UGCAAGUCGAACGCGAAAGUUUCCUUCGGGGAACAAGUAGAGUGGCGCACGGGUGAGUAACACGUAGGUAAUCUACCUUUGGAUGGGGAAUAACAACCGGAAACGGUUGCUAAUACCGCAUAAUGCAGCGGCACCUAAUGGUGACAGUUGUUAAAGCGGGGGAUCGAAAGACCUCGCGUCUGAAGAGGAGCCUGCGGCGGAUUAGCUAGUUGGUAAGGUAACGGCUUACCAAGGCAAUGAUCCGUAGCCGGCCUGAGAGGGCGGUCGGCCACACUGACACUGACAUACGGGUCAGACUCCUACGGGAGGCAGCAGUCGGGAAUUUUGGGCAAUGGGCGAAAGCCUGACCCAGCAACGCCGCGUGAAGGAUGAAAUCCCUCGGGAUGUAAACUUCGCAAGAACGGGAAGAAUAAGUAAGGGUUAACACCUCUUACGAUGACGGUACUGUUUGUAAGCUCCGGCUAACUCCGUGCCAGCAGCCGCGGUAAUACGGGGGGAGCAAGCGUUGUUCGGAUUUACUGGGCGUAAAGGGCGCGUAGGCGGCCACCGCAAGUCGGUUGUGAAAUCUCUGGGCUUAACCCAGAAAGGUCAACCGAUACUGCGGGGCUAGAGUGCAGAAGGGGCAACUGGAAUUCUCGGUGUAGCGGUGAAAUGCGUAGAUAUCGAGAGGAACACCUGCGGCGAAGGCGGGUUGCUGGGCUGACACUGACGCUGAAGUGCGAAAGCUAGGGGAGCGAACGGGAUUAGAUACCCCCGGUAGUCCUAGCCUUAAACGAUGAAUGCUUGGGUGUCUGGGGUUUUAUAGUCCCCGGGUGCCGUCGCUAACGCUUUAAGCAUCCCCCC
RNAcentral lists this ribosomal RNA (843 nucleotides) under uncultured bacterium. RNAcentral's name for it is "bacterial SSU rRNA". It matches the Rfam family "Bacterial small subunit ribosomal RNA", at positions 56 to 873 of the family's 1533-position model. The record is from RNAcentral.